This 831-nucleotide long non-coding RNA is filed under the name Volvox carteri. Its description in RNAcentral is "long non-coding RNA (VCAR_LNC002858)". Lineage: Eukaryota; Viridiplantae; Chlorophyta; Chlorophyceae; Chlamydomonadales; Volvocaceae. The record is from RNAcentral.
GCAGACCUGGCAGACCUAGCAGACCUGGCAGACCUAGCAGACCUUGCAGACCUGGCAGACCUGGCAGACCUAGCAGACCUAGCAGACCUAGCAGACCUGGCAGACCUGGCAGACUUGGCAGACCUAGCAGACCUAGCAGACCUGGCAGACCUGGCAGACCUGGCAGACCUGGCAGACCUAGCAGACCUGGCAGACCUGGCAGACCUGGCAGACCUAGCAGACCUGGCAGACCUGGCAGACCUGGCAGACCUAGCAGACCUGGCAGACCUGGCAGACCUAGCAGACCUGGCAGACCUGGCAGACCUGGCAGACCUGGCAGACCUGGCAGACCUGGCAGACCUGGCAGACCUAGCAGACCUGGCAGACCUGGCAGACCUGGCAGACCUGGCAGACCUGGCAGACCUGGCAGACCUGGCAGACCUGGCAGACCUGGCAGACCUGGCAGACCUAGCAGACCUGGCAGACCUGGCAGACCUAGCAGACCUGGCAGACCUAGCAGACCUAGCAGACCUGGCAGACCUGGCAGACCUAGCAGACCUGGCAGACCUGGCAGACCUAGCAGACCUAGCAGACCUGGCAGACCUGGCAGGCAGUACAGUUCAGGAGACGUGAUGUUGCAUCCCUAUCUGCAAACGAGAUACCCUGCUCACUAGCUGCAUUGGCGUCAUCCUGUUACGCAAGCUUCAUGCUUACAGCGAGGGUAAGAGACGACGGACGGGGCCUGAAGAAGAGUGCGGGAAGGACUGCGUGCCUCUCUGGUCUUUUUCAAGACCGCCUUCCUUCGGGAAUGGUUUAAACGGGAUUCCGGGCUCAGCCAUAUUUGCAUUUGGG